GCACAAAUACACCGCAGGUUAGAAAUAUCACACUUAAGCUGCCUCACAGACCAUUUACACUCAUUAAUCUAACACAUGUCUUUGGGCUGUGGGAGCAAGCUGGACUCAAUAUGCACCACAGAGAGCAGCCAUGCUUAAGUUUAGGUAAGGAAGAUAAAUAGAAGCUGCACAGAUACAACCGCUGAAAGCAAACUAUUCCUUUUCCUCAGAAUGUCACAGUUUUGAGAUUAAUGUCAGAAUUCUUUGAGAAAAGUCGGAAUUCUAAGAAGAAAAAAAAACUCCAAAAGAUGCCCGGACCUAUAGAAACCAUUUGUUGGCAAGAACAGCAGUAAAAUGGUUCUUGUAGUUGGUCAGUGGGUUUGCACACAUCUCAGGGGGGAUUUUGUUCCACUCCUCUUUACAGAAACUCUAAAUCAUUUUAGGUUUCUUGGUUAGCUGCUUGGAAACUCAAAGCUUCAGCCUCCUCCACAAAUUUCUAUAAGACUAUAAGAAAUGUGCUUCUUCUUUAACCACUCCUUUGUUGCCUUGACGCCAUGUUUUGGGUCAUUGUCAUGCUGGAAGACUCGACUAUCAUCGUCAACGUUCUGGCUGAGGGAAGGAGGUUCUCACUUGCCUCACCCCAUGAGGCAAGAUCUUGAACAAAGCUCCAGACCGAGGGCGGAAGAAAUAUUACAUGACCAUCAAUUUCUAAAUAACUGCACCAACAGUCAUCUGCUCAAAGCUUCUUGUUGAUGGUAUUGUAGCUCAUUCCAGACUCCUGCAGGUCUACAAUCUUAUUCCUGGCCUCCUUUGACAGCUCUUUGCUCUUACGACGGUGGAGGAGAGGUUGGAAUGGAAGAAACCGACUCCUGAUUUCAGCAUGACACACAUAUCAAGUGUUGUAGAGAAUCAAAACCCAGAUUUCACUCAAUGAGAUGCAAAUCAAUUUAUAACAUUUAUUUCAUGUUUUUGUUUCAAGAUUUCUGGCUAAUAUUCUGUCUCUCUUCAUAAAAAUCUAAACUACCAUCAUUUAUUUGUGAGCAAACCUGCAAAUUCACCAGGGGAUCAAAUCAUCAGUUCCCCCACUGCAACUUAAUGUCUGCAGCUUAUGUAAAAUACAGAAGGGAAAUAAACCAAACAUUUUAAACCUAAAAUAAUUAGUAUUUUCUUCUGGUGGUCGGUUUAGGCUCUUCAGCAGAAUUAUUCAGCAACAACCCAGCAGCUGUGUGGAAAUGAUAGCAGAGAGUUCACAACCCAGAGUGACCUCGAGUGGAAAUACUCUGGAUUUCGGUCAGUAGACAGCAGGGCUGUGAAACCUUAACUGCUCUUACUGAAUAAUGAAUAAGCAAGUGAUAAAAGCUUCAUGCACUACAGGUCCCUCAUGGGCUGUUGCUGAGGAAAAGAUAUUGUUGUUGUCCUUGUUUUUCAUAGCAGAGCUCGCUCUGGGCAUCCAACGCCCAUGCUGUACAGCUUCAUACUCUGUGUACUUGUUUAUCUUGUAAUGCAGAUCAUUUAAGGUCUGUUUAUAUUAUUAAAAAAAUAAUAGUUGUGUGUCUGUGCUCUGGAUCACAUAUGGAUGCAAUCCACAAAGUCAGCUAUUUGAAUGGUUUGAACUUAUUGAUAAGAAAGAACUUAUAUGUCUGUGAAGGUUCUCAGUCAUCCAGGUCUUAUAACUAACCCUUAUAACUAAGAACUUAUAACUAACCCAUUUCCAGUUAGAGAAACUGUUAGGUGACUUAGGUUUUAGGUAACUGACUCAAGGAGUAAGUCAGGUUUUGCUGCUUUGAUUUAAAUCACCAUUCUCAGUGCGUCUUUGUAGCGGUGCAGCACUGAAUCUGUGGAGUGCCUCUUUCACAUGUACAGUAUUAAGCUCUCUGAGUGUUUUGCAGUGCAGUGAACUGAUGCAGUUGCGUCCACAUGGUGGUGUCAUACACCAAGACAACACAUCAAUACUCAGGGCACUACGAGGGCUGACAAACAUCCACCAGAAGUUGUGUAACUAAGCAACCAUCAGAAAAAGAAGGGGAACACACGAUGACCCCUGACCUUGUCAUAAAGGUUGCCGGCAUUCUUCCUGUCGUCCUCGUCGCUGCUGUCCUCUGCAGGCGGGCUCUGCCUUUUCAUCUCAUCGCCCAGGUAGUGCUCAAAGACGCUGGAGAAGGCAAUGGCUGACAGCAUGCACACCACCGGAGUCAGAGUCAGCAUCAAGCGUA
Long non-coding RNA from Oreochromis niloticus (Nile tilapia), 2192 nucleotides. RefSeq lists it as uncharacterized. The record is from RefSeq and is a predicted model, not a curated record. NCBI's taxonomy places the organism in Eukaryota, Metazoa, Chordata, Actinopteri, Cichliformes, Cichlidae. The transcript has 2 exons.